UGAGGAAUACAUCGGAAUCUACUCUGUCGUGGGGGGAGUAACGUAGGGAAACUUACGCUAAUACCGCAUACGACCUACGGGUGAAGCAGGGAUCUUCGGACCUUGCGCGAUUGAAUGAGCCGAUGUCGGAUUAGCUAGUUGGCGGGGUAAAGGCCCACCAAGGCGACGAUCCGUAGCUGGUCUGAGAGGAUGAUCAGCCACACUGGAACUGAGACACGGUCCAGACUCCUACGGGAGGCAGCAGCG
RNAcentral lists this ribosomal RNA (246 nucleotides) under uncultured Stenotrophomonas sp. Its description in RNAcentral is "partial 16S ribosomal RNA". It matches the Rfam family "Bacterial small subunit ribosomal RNA", at positions 107 to 356 of the family's 1533-position model. Lineage: Bacteria; Pseudomonadati; Pseudomonadota; Gammaproteobacteria; Lysobacterales; Lysobacteraceae. The record is from RNAcentral.